Molecule: ribosomal RNA, 459 nt
Filed under: uncultured bacterium
Lineage: Bacteria
Description: partial 16S ribosomal RNA
Rfam family: Bacterial small subunit ribosomal RNA
Source: RNAcentral
CCUACGGGAGGCAGCAGUGAGGAAUAUUGGUCAAUGGCCGGAAGGCUGAACCAGCCAAGCCGCGUGAAGGACGAAGGUGCCAAGCAUUGUAAACUUCUUUUGUCAAGGGACAAAAUCAGGCUCGAGAGCCUGACCGAGGGUACUUGAAGAAACAGCAUCGGCUAACUCCGUGCCAGCAGCCGCGGUAAUACGGAGGAUGCGAGCGUUAUCCGGAUUUAUUGGGGUUAACGGGUGCGUAGGCGGACUGUUAAGUCAGCGGUAAAAGCACGGGGCUCAACCCCGGCGAGCCGUUGAAACUGGGUGUCUGGAGAUGUGGAGAGGUAUGCGGAAUGCGCAGUGUAGCGGUGAAAUGCGUAGAGAUUGCGCAGAACUCAGAUUGCGAAGGCAGCAUACCGGCGGCGAUCUGACGCUGAGGCACGAAAGCGUGGGUAUCGAACAGGAUUAGAUACCCCUGUAGUC